This 66-nucleotide transfer RNA is filed under the name Dipodomys ordii (Ord's kangaroo rat). It matches the Rfam family "tRNA". From Rfam's summary of the family: Transfer RNA (tRNA) molecules are approximately 80 nucleotides in length. Their secondary structure includes four short double-helical elements and three loops (D, anti-codon, and T loops). Lineage: Eukaryota; Metazoa; Chordata; Mammalia; Rodentia; Heteromyidae. The record is from Rfam by way of RNAcentral.
GGUGGCUCAGUGGUAGAGCGCUUGCCUUGCACGCCUGAGGCCCUGGGGUUUGAUUCCUCAGCACCA